CGGAGGGAGUAUUAAUUUCAGGGAACUUAAUUUUAUACCCGCUUGCUUCGCUAGGAUAGCACUGAUUUUGUCUUUAUUUGAGAUCAUUAGGUGGUUAGUUCUAGACAGUGGCCCCGCUCUUCAAGCUAUCGAGCAGUUGUUUGUUCUCAGGAUAAUUUGCUGCGGACAGUUAUAAAUUGUUUGUAUUUACCAGUAGACAUUGGUACAGAUGACGGUAUUUUCAGGCAGUUUCUAACUAAAAUUCUCUACAAGUAUAAAGAAUGCCCUCUCUCUGUUGCUUAAGAAGUUUGUCCUGUUCUUUCAGGGAGCUGUUGCUGGACUUUUAUUUUAGUUCUAAAGCUCGGGAACCUAAAGAUAUUGUAGUUUUCAGGGAUGGCGAGUUGAUCAACGAUGAUGGCAUACAAGAUGAGCUUGAUGCAAUGAAGAAGGUUUGAAUGUGCAGCUUAGUUUUUCAAUGAGACCUAUUCUUUCUCUGAUCACCAAAUGUGAAACAUAUUGUCUAUAGGCCUGCCAACAUUUGGAGCAUAGUAAUGGAUGGAUUCCAUGUUUCACAGUCAUUAUUGCACGAAAGAACCACCACACUAAGUUUUUCCUCUACAACUCAGUGGACAAUGUUGCUCUAGGGACUGUGGUUGACAGUACAAUUUGCCAUCCAACUAAGAAUGACUUCUUCAUGUGUGCUCAUGCUGUGCCUACUGGAAUAGCACGACCCAGACACUACGAAGUUUAUUGUGAUGAAAUUGGAUAUUCAACAGAUGAGAUGCAAGAACUGGUCCAUUCACUGUCUUAAGUGUCUCAAAGAAGUACCACAGCCAUCUCUGAUGUUGCACCAAUACGUCAUGCCCAGUUAGCAGCAAAACAGAUGUCACAGCUUCGCAAAGCUGAAAAUGCUGAUUAUGUGCCUCUGCUACACGGGAAAGCGCGCAGUU
Lycium ferocissimum is the source of this 929-nucleotide long non-coding RNA. RefSeq lists it as uncharacterized. The transcript has 6 exons. The record is from RefSeq and is a predicted model, not a curated record. NCBI's taxonomy places the organism in Eukaryota, Viridiplantae, Streptophyta, Magnoliopsida, Solanales, Solanaceae.